CCUCGUUCCCCCCCUUUCUUAUUUUAUUUUUUCCAAUCCAUUACAAUUCAUUGUCCACCUCUGAUCCCAAUGGGCGGUGAGCAAUGAUGACAGCGGCGAGAGGGGGUCAUGGCUCCAUCGCCGGUAUGUGCCGUUACCGUCUCGGCCGUGGUGGAAACAGGUCCGGUGGAGUCGAAGGUAGAUCCAGCGCCGGAAUUAACAUGUUGCUUCAACGGCUUCGUCACCGUUCUCCACGUUUUUGGCAAGCUCUACCAUUGAUUCGAUCUCUCGAUCGUGAUUCUGAUGAUACCUCCAUUUCGGAUUUGGCGCGUGAUAUUCGGCUCCCCACUCGGGGCUUAAAAACUUCACCAAAAAUGCUAGGGAACUCGUUACUAGCCUUCAGAAGAUUGACAGUGACAACUAUCCAGAGACCUUGAAUCGCAUGUUCAUCAUCAAUGCAGGUUCUGGAUUUAGAAUACUGUGGAACACCAUAAAAUCCUUCCUUGAUCCUAAGACCACAGCAAAAAUCCAUGUUCUUGGCAACAAGUAUGACACUAAAUUGCUUGAGAUAAUUAAUGCAAGUGAGUUGCCUGACUUUUUAGGAGGUACUUGUACAUGUGCUGAUCAAGGAGGAUGUAUGCGCUCUGAUAAGGGCCCAUGGAAUGAUAUUGAAAUAAUGAAGAUGGUUCAGAAUGGUGAUCACAAAAGUUCAAGAAAAUGUGAGUUUCACGUUGAGGAAGAGAAAGUAGUUUCAUAGGGACACGAGACUUCCAAGGUGGAGGAAAAUCUCACCUCACAUGUUUCUCCAGUUUGUGAAGAGGAUCUGUUAUGGACAAAUUUACUAUUGCUUUGAGAGAAAUCAGUACAUACAAGGAACUUCUUCGAUCACAAGUAGAGUACGUGCUCAAUGACCGGUUCCUACACAUUAUCAAUGUGGACAUCCAUGAAGUCAAGUCUUCAGUGCUUCAUUUGCAACCAAAGUCAACUGUGGGAACUUCAGCAUAUAUUGCUCUAGAAGUAUUGCUGAGACAAGAGUAUGAUGGCAAGGUAGAUUAUUUUGGUUACAUGGUAUUGUUGAAAGAAGAAAAAAUUGUUAACUACAUAUGGUAGAUACUAUGAUGAGAAGAGUAUGUCUUUUGGGACCGAAAACAUUUGAAUUUGUGAUCUGCUCUCUUCAUCUCUGGAUUCGCAAAACACUUUGGAAGAUGGGUCAUGCUAUAGUCAAUUGAAGUUACAGUAUGUGCUAACUUAACUUCAUGGCCUUGUGAGCUAUGAUCUUUUUCUUUUGACCUUGCUGUCUGUUUUGAUCUUCAAUCAUCAAUGACGUGUGAAAAUCAGCAGCUAACUAUAUCUAUAUUUGUGAGCUAUAUUUAAUAUUAUUUUUUUAUUGAUGUAAUUUAACAGAAAUGUUUUUAUUGAAAAAUAUAAUCGCGGAGAA
Long non-coding RNA from Gastrolobium bilobum, 1417 nucleotides. RefSeq lists it as uncharacterized. The transcript is spliced from 10 exons. Lineage: Eukaryota; Viridiplantae; Streptophyta; Magnoliopsida; Fabales; Fabaceae. The record is from RefSeq and is a predicted model, not a curated record.